Non-coding RNA from Paramuricea clavata, 240 nucleotides. The record is from the annotation of a GenBank genome assembly. NCBI's taxonomy places the organism in Eukaryota, Metazoa, Cnidaria, Anthozoa, Malacalcyonacea, Plexauridae.
UACUUCAAAAAUAUGUAGUCAGCUACAACUACUGCUACUUUUGAACAAAGGUAGUUCGCUACUGACUACAGCUACUGCUUAAAAAAUGUAGCGAACCAUUUCGCUAUUUCGCUACGCUCGAUAUUUUUUAGUUAAACUGUAUUUGGAGCAUCUAUACUAACUCAGACUGUAAUGUAACCUAUAACAAAUCGACUUACGAGUAGCAACAGUAAACACAAAGCAACAUUUUUGUAAUCACUA